UACGUAGGGGGCAAGCGUUAUCCAGAUUUACUGGGCGUAAAGCGCGUGUAGGCGGCUGGUUAGGCGUGAUGUGAAAUCUUCCGGCUCAACCGGAAAACUGCAUUGCGAACCGACCUGGCUAGAGUGCAGGAGAGGGAAGCGGAAUUCCAGGUGUAGCGGUGAAAUGCGUAGAUAUCUGGAGGAACACCGAUGGCGAAGGCAGCUCGCUGGGACGGUACUGACGCUGAGGCGCGAAAGCGUGGGGAGCAAACAGG
RNAcentral lists this ribosomal RNA (254 nucleotides) under uncultured bacterium. RNAcentral describes it as "partial 16S ribosomal RNA". It matches the Rfam family "Bacterial small subunit ribosomal RNA", at positions 524 to 776 of the family's 1533-position model. The record is from RNAcentral.